This 252-nucleotide ribosomal RNA is filed under the name uncultured bacterium. RNAcentral describes it as "partial 16S ribosomal RNA". It matches the Rfam family "Bacterial small subunit ribosomal RNA", at positions 524 to 776 of the family's 1533-position model. The record is from RNAcentral.
UACGUAGGGUGCGAGCGUUAAUCGGAAUUACUGGGCGUAAAGAGUGCGUAGGCGGUUCUUGAAGUCCGCUGUGAAAGCCCCGGGCUUAACCUGGGAAUGGCAGUGGAAACUGGGGGACUUGAAUUGAGCAGAGGGGGUGGAAUUCCGCGUGUAGCAGUGAAAUGCGUAGAGAUGCGGAGGAACACCGAUGGCGAAGGCAGCCCCCUGGGCUGACACUGACGCUCAGGCACGAAAGCGUGGGGAGCAAACAGG